GGUGCCCGUUCUGACUGAAGUGCAGCCGUCUUAACUGAGGGGCGUUCCUGGUGGCUAACAGCUUAGGAAAACGAGGGCCCAAGAGGCAGGAACCAGCUUGGAGCCACACGGCUGCCACCUGUGGAGGGCAGAGCCCAGUGGUUAAGAGCAGGGCUACCGUGUCCGCCAGUCAUUCAUGGUCCUCAGUGAAACACCGGUCCCCGGCCCUGGCUGGGGACAGUAAGGACAUCACCGCAGGAGGGACACUGAAGAGGCUGUCGAGGACUGCAGAGGCAUCUGGUGUGGCCAGAGGCGUGGUGUCAGGGGCAUCUGAUCCCUUGCCUGUUCCCACCCAGGGAGCCGGACGGCACGGACACAGGUCUCCCUCCGCUCACCCCUCUCCCUGAAACGUGAGAAACAGCAGCUUUCCGCCUGCUUGAAAAAGGAGGCAGGCGCUGUAAGGAGAAGAGGAAUGGGGAAUGUGGCCCCUUCCAAGGCAGCGAAGCAGAGAACAUGCAGGUGGAACUGCCAGCUGAAACCUACACUUGCUACUUAAGAAACGGAAAGACCAUGUCUGGCUGGGAGUGCAGCGUGCCUGAGGACCAGCCACCGCCCCUCCUCCUGGCACCCCACACUGUCCACGCAGCUCCUGGGCUCUGAGGUCAGAAGCUGGGGUGUGCUGAAGGGGAAAGUGACACGGCCUUGGACACACCACUAGGUCUCUGUUCCUAACUUUUAGUAAGACACUACCCUCGAAGCAAAUGCACUCAUUUAAACAAAUGGCAUAGUUAAAACUAUUGACUAAGACCUAAACAUUUCUUCUGAGAAAUCGAACCAUAGCUUUUCCAAUCUGCCUGUUCAAUAUGGGAACAGAUUUUAAAGAGAGUAACAUAAUCAAUCCUCCGCCCCAAAGAAUGGUCCAUCAUACCAACCAUGAUAAAGAGUACACCUGUUUAUUAAAAGGAAAAACAGAAA
Molecule: long non-coding RNA, 954 nt
Organism: Homo sapiens (human)
Lineage: Eukaryota; Metazoa; Chordata; Mammalia; Primates; Hominidae
Source: Ensembl